RNAcentral lists this ribosomal RNA (253 nucleotides) under uncultured bacterium. RNAcentral describes it as "partial 16S ribosomal RNA". It matches the Rfam family "Bacterial small subunit ribosomal RNA", at positions 524 to 776 of the family's 1533-position model. The record is from RNAcentral.
UACGGGGGGGGCAAGCGUUGUUCGGAAUUACUGGGCGUAAAGGGCUCGUAGGCGGCCAACUAAGUCAUACGUGAAAUCCCUCGGCUUAACCGGGGAACUGCGUCUGAUACUGGAUGGCUUGAGUUCGGGAGAGGGAUGCGGAAUUCCUGGUGUAGCGGUGAAAUGCGCAGAUAUCAGGAGGAACACCGGUGGCGAAGGCGGGUCUCUGGGCCGAUACUGACGCUGAGGAGCGAAAGCGUGGGGAGCGAACAGG